CGAUGUCAAUCCUGAAUCAAUAUUGAUGUCAAAGAUUUUGAUAUGUUUUUUUAAUCUGAAGGAUGUGUUUUCAAUAUUUCGGAGAAGUUUGUCGAAUUUUCUUGGAGCCUGUGUAAAGUAAAAAAUAAGAGAUUAAUCAAAAUUACAUAUUUUUAUUAUUAAGCAACGAUGAUCUUACCAAUGAUAUUUGAAGGUGAAACAAUGUCGGAGAAUUUUCAAGGAUACAAUCAACUACUGCAUAUUCUUGAGGACAGUCUAGACACAAGAUUGAGUAUUUUCAAAAGGUUGAAUUUAAUCUCUUGUAACGCUGAUUCAAUCUUGCAAAAGAAUUUAAUCGCAAAACCACAACAUUUAAGAAGAAGAUAAAUCAGAAUUUUUCAUAUAAGCAAUAUACUGGACAAAAAUCGGUUGCAGAAAGUUGAAGAUUAGACACCUUUAAAAGACUGCCAAAAAGAUUAGGCAAAUCGUAAAGACGUC
RNAcentral lists this long non-coding RNA (477 nucleotides) under Zostera marina. RNAcentral describes it as "long non-coding RNA (ZMAR_LNC001368)". The record is from RNAcentral. Lineage: Eukaryota; Viridiplantae; Streptophyta; Magnoliopsida; Alismatales; Zosteraceae.